AAAAAGAGCCCGGGAACGGCGACAAAAAGGUGGAAUUUGUUUGGAUAAGCGGGAAUGUGAGCCAGGGAAAGGGCUGGAAGCGCAGGCGGCGCUCGGGAAAUCGGGAAUUCGCCGGCUCUGAGGUGUUUUUUAGGGAUAAAACACGGAAUUUUUGGUUUGUGAAGCUGGGAUUUUUCCUUUUCCCGGGUUUUCCUGAACCUGGCAGAAUUCCUGGGAGAAUCCAGCCCUUUAUCCUGCUUUUUUUCCAGCUCCAAAUCACCUUUUUCACCUUAAAUUUUGGGCUCAGAUCCAUAAAAAUUCCACUUGGGAAGGAGUUCUUUGCUCCUCACUUUUCCCUGGAAGGAUUUAAGGUCUGAUCCCUGAUUUUCUGACUCUUUAUCCAUGUUUUUUUUUGGGAAUUUGGAGCCAGACACCCGAGGCCAGCAGCGUGUGGGGGUGGGAUAAUUCAAUUUUUGCGUUUUCCGGGGUUUCUUCUUCUUUUCCUGGGAUUUUCCUGGGAUUUUCCCUUGCUUUUCUGGGAUUGAUCCUCUCUGAGCAUGGAUUUUUCCUUUCUUUUGGCAGGAUCCAACACCUUCAAAAAAUCCCUCACUCCCGAGAUGCCGGGAGGAUCCCAAACCAUCCGGAAAGGCCACAGAGGAGUGGAUUCCACGGGGGAAACCACCUACAAAAAGGUAAAUUCCUGCUUUUUUUCCCCCCCCCUUUUCCCAAGGAAUUCUGCUCUGGGAAUGGGAGGAGGUUCCAUGGAAAUGCAGGAGAAAGGGAAUUUUGUGGUGGAAUUUUCUUGGGCUGCUUUCCCAGAACUUUUAGGAAGGGGAUUUUUUUUUUUAAUCUCUGAGGUCCCAGGUUUUCUGGGAGCUUCCCAAGGGCACCAAAAUUCCCGUAAAUCCGAUGGAAUGGCUGGAAUUAUUGGCUGGGCAAAGAGGGAAUUGUGAGGGAAUUUUGUAAAUGGGGGGGUUUUGCCAUGAAUUUGUGCCAUUCCCGUUGAAUUCCUGCUGUUCCCAUGGAAUCCCUCCCAUUCCCACUGAAUUCCCAUUCCCAUCCAAUCCCUCCCAUUCCCUCUGCACUCCAGCCAUUCCCAUCCCCAUUCCUGCUGUAAUUCC
This 1100-nucleotide long non-coding RNA is filed under the name Parus major (Great Tit). RNAcentral's name for it is "lncRNA (ENSPMJG00000004608.1)". The record is from RNAcentral. Lineage: Eukaryota; Metazoa; Chordata; Aves; Passeriformes; Paridae.